UUGAAGCCUAGCGAUAUGUAAGUUAGUGGCGGACGGGUGAGUAACGCGUGGGUAACCUGCCUUGUACUGGGGGACAACAGUUGGAAACGGCUGCUAAUACCGCAUAAGCGCACAGCAUCGCAUGAUGCAGUGUGAAAAACUCCGGUGGUGUGAGAUGGACCCGCGUCUGAUUAGCCAGUUGGCGGGGUAACGGCCCACCAAAGCGACGAUCAGUAGCCGGCCUGAGAGGGUGAACGGCCACAUUGGGACUGAGACACGGCCCAAACUCC
Molecule: ribosomal RNA, 269 nt
Filed under: uncultured Lachnospiraceae bacterium
Lineage: Bacteria; Bacillati; Bacillota; Clostridia; Lachnospirales; Lachnospiraceae
Description: partial 16S ribosomal RNA
Rfam family: Bacterial small subunit ribosomal RNA
Source: RNAcentral